Non-coding RNA from Pangasianodon gigas (Mekong giant catfish), 74 nucleotides. Lineage: Eukaryota; Metazoa; Chordata; Actinopteri; Siluriformes; Pangasiidae. The record is from the annotation of a GenBank genome assembly.
GGUGGUGGCGGCUCAGUGGUUAAGCCGUUGUCCUACUGAUCAGAAGGUUAUGAGUUCAAAUCCCAGCACCACCA